AGGCGGGUUUGUAAGUCAGUGGUGAAAGACUGUCGCUUAACGAUAGCAUUGCCAUUGAUACUGCAAGUCUUGAGUACACUUGAGGUAGGCGGAAUGUGUAGUGUAGCGGUGAAAUGCUUAGAUAUUACACAGAACACCAAUUGCGAAGGCAGCUUACUAAAUUGUCACUGACGCUGAGGCACGAAAGCGUGGGGAUCAAACAGGAUUAGAUACCCUGGUAGUCCACGCCGUAAACUAUGAUCACUGGAUGUUAGCGAUACACAGCUAGCGUCUGAGUAAAAGCAUUAAGUGAUCCACCUGGGGAGUACGUCGGCAACGAUGAAACUCAAAGGAAUUGACGGGGGCCCGCACAAGCGGAGGAACAUGUGGUUUAAUUCGAUGAUACGCGAGGAACCUUACCCGGGCUCGAACGUGAGAGGAAUAUAGAUGAGAGUUUAUAGCCAGCAAUGGCCGCUUACGAGGUGCUGCAUGGUUGUCGUCAGCUCGUGCCGUGAGGUGUCGGCUUAAGUGCCAUAACGAGCGCAACCCUUAUCAUUAGUUGCCAGCGGGUCAUGCCGGGAACUCUAAUGAAACUGCCAGCGUAAGCUGUGAGGAAGGCGGGGAUGACGUCAAAUCAGCACGGCCCUUACGUCCGGGGCUACACACGUGUUACAAUGGAUAGUACAGAGGGCAGCUACACCGCGAGGUGAUGCUAAUCUCCAAAGCUAUUCUCAGUUCGGAUCGGAGUCUGCAACUCGACUCCGUGAAGCUGGAUUCGCUAGUAAUCGCAUAUCAGCCACGAUGCGGUGAAUACGUUCCCGGGCCUUGUACACACCGCCCGUCAAGCCAUGGGAGCUGGGGGUACCUGAAGUAUGCAACCGCAAGGAGCGUCCUAGGGUAAAACUGGUGACUGGGGCUAAGUCGUAACAAGGUAAC
Molecule: ribosomal RNA, 915 nt
Filed under: uncultured Bacteroidota bacterium
Lineage: Bacteria; Pseudomonadati; Bacteroidota
Description: bacterial SSU rRNA
Rfam family: Bacterial small subunit ribosomal RNA
Source: RNAcentral